This 252-nucleotide long non-coding RNA is filed under the name Malus domestica (apple). Its description in RNAcentral is "long non-coding RNA (MDOM_LNC020818)". The record is from RNAcentral. Lineage: Eukaryota; Viridiplantae; Streptophyta; Magnoliopsida; Rosales; Rosaceae.
UCAGUUGUUGUGGCCUAAGGACUAGCCAUUCCGGUAUUGCUUGACAAGAGAGCUUUGAACUCGACUUCCCAUGAAGGCUGCACACAAUAAUCAGUUUAAGCUCAAGGACAUCACGAAAAAGAUAGCGAGAAGGUUUUGUUUUAAACCUGCCGAGAGGAAACUUUGGCCAUAUCUUCAGAUUCGUUGCUCGAACCUAAAUAACUUAAGGGCCUAGCCCAGUGUCUUAGACUGCUUCUCAGUUCACGCGGCCGA